RNAcentral lists this ribosomal RNA (253 nucleotides) under uncultured bacterium. RNAcentral's name for it is "partial 16S ribosomal RNA". It matches the Rfam family "Bacterial small subunit ribosomal RNA", at positions 524 to 776 of the family's 1533-position model. The record is from RNAcentral.
UACGGAGGGUGCAAGCGUUGCCCGGAAUCACUGGGCGUAAAGGGCGCGUAGGCGGCUCAUGAAGGCUGUGGUGAAAGUCCGGGGCUCAACCUCGGAUCGGCCGUGGCGACUCGUGGGCUGGAGCACUGUAGAGGCGGGUGGAAUUCCGGGUGUAGCGGUGGAAUGCGUAGAGAUCCGGAAGAACACCAGUGGCGAAGGCGGCCCGCUGGGCAGUGGCUGACGCUGAGGCGCGACAGCGUGGGGAGCAAACCGG